UCAAAACCUUCACUUACCAGUCCACCUCGCCGCCGUUUUUAUCCUUGCAGGUGACUUUGGCCUCAGAGGAGCAGAUGCCCCAGCAGAGGAGACUAACUGUGAGGACCACCCUCGACAUGACUUCCUGAAACACACCGGGAACAAUAACAGCAACACAUCAGCUGCCAGACAGACUGAUGACUGCAUUGACUAAUGAUCACUCUGUCGUUGCUGCCAUGUCUGUAAAGCAGUGGUUCACAAACUCAGUCCUGCAGCCCCCUGUGUAUGCCGGUUUUCAUUCCAACCACAACUGCAACCCCAGAAUUUUAACAAGCUGUUAAUACUUUUUAAUUAGGUGUUUUUCAUGUUUAGAGGGAUUAUUUACCCUCUUAAGCCACAAUAUGUCAGAAAUAGGCAUGCAUGAUAAAGAUGAUUUUAUGCUUCCAUGAAGAAUAAAUUGACCAGUUUCAAAAGUU
Anguilla anguilla (European eel) is the source of this 455-nucleotide long non-coding RNA. RefSeq lists it as uncharacterized. The record is from RefSeq and is a predicted model, not a curated record. The transcript has 2 exons. NCBI's taxonomy places the organism in Eukaryota, Metazoa, Chordata, Actinopteri, Anguilliformes, Anguillidae.